Molecule: small RNA, 753 nt
Filed under: Arabidopsis thaliana (thale cress)
Lineage: Eukaryota; Viridiplantae; Streptophyta; Magnoliopsida; Brassicales; Brassicaceae
Description: ATSL289050
Source: RNAcentral
AAUGAAUGAUGUUUUUUGAAUCUUAAAAACUUAUUUAUGCAAUCUAUGAUGAGACCCUCUAUUGGUUAUUUCCGCUGCUUAUUAUCUCUAUGACUUGAUGUGUGCUUGUGAGUUUUCUUUUAGGGGUUUCUUGCAGGAUUGCUUGAAUUGACAAAUUGUAUCAAAAAGGGGGAGAUUGUUAGUGCACCCUCUAUCAGGACAGACCAGAAGGAGUGCUGAUUGCUGGAACAAGCUGGAAGCUGUUUCAGAAGACUAAAGUGAAGAUCAAGUAAUUGAUGCUGACGUGGAUAUAUCGCCAAAUGAACGAAUGACGUGGAAAUCACAACAGGAUGAGUUCAGUUUGGAGAGGAGAUAUUCGCGCGAAGAUUUGGUGUGAUCCAAGAUCUCGAAGGCUAACCUAGAAGACCAAAGACCUCGAUAGUAUAAAUAGAGGUGCUAAGGUUCUUGUUAGACUUGGCCGUGAUAGUUGUGAAAAGUAAGUGCAAAGCUUUUCAUUGUGAGAGAGUAAGGUUUACUCUGAUUAGGAUUCUAGAGAAAUCAAAGAGUGUGUUCUUGUGAUUAUCUCUUGUGUGUGUUAGGAAAUCUAAGGUGACAAACUAAAGUAGUUUAGAUCUUGUGUAAAACCUAUUAAGGUAGUUGUAAACUUCUUAAUCAGAUUUCUAAUAAAGUAAAACUCAGUGGUUCUGAGUUUGGGGAAUAUAGUUCUUGGUUCAUCCGGAUUUUCAGAUAUAACUCAAGAUGAACCCAAGUUUU